This 602-nucleotide ribosomal RNA is filed under the name Salmonella enterica. Its description in RNAcentral is "partial 23S ribosomal RNA". It matches the Rfam family "Bacterial large subunit ribosomal RNA", at positions 2201 to 2802 of the family's 2925-position model. The record is from RNAcentral. Lineage: Bacteria; Pseudomonadati; Pseudomonadota; Gammaproteobacteria; Enterobacterales; Enterobacteriaceae.
CACCCUUUAAUGUUUGAUGUUCUAACGUGGACCCGUUACCCGGGUUGCGGACAGUGUCUGGUGGGUAGUUUGACUGGGGCGGUCUCCUCCUAAAGAGUAACGGAGGAGCACGAAGGUUGGCUAAUCCUGGUCGGACAUCAGGAGGUUAGUGCAAUGGCAUAAGCCAGCUUGACUGCGAGCGUGACGGCGCGAGCAGGUGCGAAAGCAGGUCAUAGUGAUCCGGUGGUUCUGAAUGGAAGGGCCAUCGCUCAACGGAUAAAAGGUACUCCGGGGAUAACAGGCUGAUACCGCCCAAGAGUUCAUAUCGACGGCGGUGUUUGGCACCUCGAUGUCGGCUCAUCACAUCCUGGGGCUGAAGUAGGUCCCAAGGGUAUGGCUGUUCGCCAUUUAAAGUGGUACGCGAGCUGGGUUUAGAACGUCGUGAGACAGUUCGGUCCCUAUCUGCCGUGGGCGCUGGAGAACUGAGGGGGGCUGCUCCUAGUACGAGAGGACCGGAGUGGACGCAUCACUGGUGUUCGGGUUGUCAUGCCAAUGGCACUGCCCGGUAGCUAAAUGCGGAAGAGAUAAGUGCUGAAAGCAUCUAAGCACGAAACUUGCCCCGA